Molecule: ribosomal RNA, 253 nt
Filed under: uncultured bacterium
Lineage: Bacteria
Description: partial 16S ribosomal RNA
Rfam family: Bacterial small subunit ribosomal RNA
Source: RNAcentral
UACGUAGGGGGCUAGCGUUGUCCGGAAUCAUUGGGCGUAAAGCGCGUGUAGGCGGCCCGGUAAGUCCGCUGUGAAAGUCCAGGGCUCAACCCUGGGAUGCCGGUGGAUACUGUCGGGCUCGAGUCCGGAAGAGGCGAGUGGAAUUCCUGGUGUAGCGGUGAAAUGCGCAGAUACCAAGAGGAACACCUGAGGUGAGGACGGGUUGCUGGGCUGACACUGACGCUGAGGCGCGAAAGCCAGGGGAGCAAACGGG